RNAcentral lists this long non-coding RNA (874 nucleotides) under Capsicum annuum. RNAcentral describes it as "long non-coding RNA (CANN_LNC008032)". Lineage: Eukaryota; Viridiplantae; Streptophyta; Magnoliopsida; Solanales; Solanaceae. The record is from RNAcentral.
GAGCUGCUGUUCUAUCAAAAAUAACCUCGCUAUUCCAUAAGUUAGAGUAAGAUCUCAUAAACCCCACAUAUGGGAUACACUAGCUAGGUAUAUUAUUAUUGUAGGUAGUACUCAUCGAUCUGUUUCUGAGAGGCUAAGAUGAACUUAAGUAGAGUGAAGUCAUGAACUCAGCUGAUCAGUUAUGAACAAGCGGGUGUGUUCUUGGUGGUAAGUAGUCAAAAUUAUACUCUGCCUCCCUUUUCAUAUCCUCUUUUGACACUUUCACUUCUACAUCCAAUCUCGAGGGAAUGGAAACCCUAUUCAUAUUUGAAUUCAUCUUCUCGUCCUGCGAGAAACACACAAAAAAUUCAAUUUUAUAUUUCAAAAUAUUCUCAAGAUAUGCAUUAUAUACUCCUAUAGUACUGGGAUUUAAUUAGUUAUACAUACUGAGCAAGGCUGGAAAUCUACUCUAUCGGAAUAAUAUUACCUGUAAUAGCAGGUUAAUUAUCAUAUUAAUUGUAUUAAUCUUAUGGUUAAGCAACUUGAUUAAUGUAAAUGCUUUUUUUACUGUUAGUUCAUAGAAUUUAAAUACUAAAAUAAAAGGGUAUACGUUAUAUACAAACAUUAAUUUGUCUUAAAGAAAGGAUAACAAACUUCUAUAAUAUGUCAAACUACACUGAUAAAAUAAGAAAAUUUUUAUAUUGUUAGUGCAUAUAAUAACAUAAACUCAAAAAACAUAUAAAUAAGAUCAGAAUAAGUUGGAGAUUAAUAUAUAGAAACAGAUGAAAUUACCUUGCUGAGUACACCAAGUGAUCUAGCAUUACAUGCAUGGAAUAGAAGGAAAAUUGUAAGAAGAGAGGAUAUCGUAAUUGACAUUUGAGAAGAAUCGUACAUU